GCAAGAUAGAGUUUGAUCCUGGCUCAGGAUGAACGCUAGCGGUGUGCCUAAUGCAUGCAAGUCGAACGGGAUCCUUUGGAUUCGUCUGAAGGUGAGAGUGGCGAACGGGUGAGUAACACGUUGGUGACCUGCCCCAGAGAGGGGAAUAACUAUUGGAAACGAUAGCUAAUACCCCGGAUGUUAUUGAGUUUAGAAAUCAAUGACUAAAGCUCCGGCGCUCUGGGAGGGGCCUGCGUCCCAUCAGCUAGUUGGUAAGGUAAUGGCUUACCAAGGCAAAGACGGGUAGGGGGCGUGAGAGCGUGACCCCCCACACUGGUACUGAAACACGGACCAGAUACCUACGGGUAGCAGCAGCAAGGAAUAUUGCGCAAUGGGCGAAAGCCUGACGCAGCAACACCGCGUGGAGGAUGAAGGCCUUCGGGUUGUAAACUCCUUUUCUAAGGGAAGAAAAAGGACGGUACCUUAGGAAUAAGGCCCGGCUAACUACGUGCCAGCAGCCGCGGUAAAACGUAGGGGUCGAGCGUUAUCCGGAUUUACUGGGCGUAAAGAGCAUGUAGGCGGCGAUUUAAGUCGGACGUGAAAGCUCCUGGCUCAACUGGGAGAGGUCGUUCGAAACUAGAUUGCUCGAGGAUGGUAGAGGUAAGUGGAAUUCUAGGUGUAGUGGUGAAAUGCGUAGAUAUCUAGAGGAACACCAGUGGCGAAGGCGGCUUACUGGGCCAUUCCUGACGCUGAGAUGCGAAAGCUAGGGGAGAGAACGGGAUUAGAAACCCCGGUAUUCCUAGCCGUAAACGAUGUCAACUAGGUGUAGGAGGUAUUGACCCCUUCUGUGCUGUAGCUAACGCGUUAAGUUGACCGCCUGGGGACUA
This 866-nucleotide ribosomal RNA is filed under the name uncultured bacterium. RNAcentral's name for it is "bacterial SSU rRNA". It matches the Rfam family "Bacterial small subunit ribosomal RNA", at positions 1 to 882 of the family's 1533-position model. The record is from RNAcentral.